Molecule: ribosomal RNA, 1199 nt
Filed under: uncultured organism
Description: partial small subunit ribosomal RNA
Rfam family: Bacterial small subunit ribosomal RNA
Source: RNAcentral
GCUGGCGGAACGCUUUACACAUGCAAGUCGAACGUUAACGUGGGGAGGUAGUUGUUCCACCCCGACCACCAGAGGGGAGAGGGUGGUUAGUACAUCUGACCGAGGCCGCUCGUGGGGUACAGCCAACCGAAAGGUUGGCUAAUACCGGAUGAGUUCUACAGAAGAAAGACGGGCACCCCUCAGGGCCUCUCACGAGCGGAGCGGCCAAUGACUGAUUAGCCUGUUGGCGAGGCAACGGCUCAACAAAGCACCGAUCGGUAUCUGGUCUGACAGGACGACCAGCCACACUGGGACUGACACACACGCCCACACUCCUACGGGAGGCAGCAAUGUGGGAAUUUUGGACAAUGGGCUGCAAGCACUGCAUCCAGCUAUUCCGCGUGUGGGAUGAAGGCCCUCGGGUUGUAAACCACUUUUGUAAAGAACGAAAAGACAUCUUCGAAUAAAGGAUGUUGCUGACGGUACUCUAAGAAUAAGCACCGGCUAACUACGUGCCACCAGCCGCGGUAAUACGUAGGGUGCGAGCGUUAAUCGGAAUUACUGGGCGUAAAGGGUGCGCAUGCGGUUGAGUAAGACAGAUGUGAAAUCCCCGAGCUUAACUCGGGAAUGGCAUAUGUGACUGCUCGACUAGAGUGUGUCAUAGGGAGGUGGAAUUCCACGUGUAGCAGUGAAAUGCGUAGAUAUGUGGAAGAACACCGAUGGCGAACGCUGCCUCCUGGGACAUAACUGACGCUCAGGCACGAAAGCGUGGGGAGCAAACAGGAUUAGAUACAGUGGUAGUCCGUGCCCUAAAUGAUGUUAGAGUAGUGUGUUGGGAUGUAACAAUCUCAGUGACGCAGCCAACGAAGAUGAAGUUAACGGCGUGGGAAGUACGGUAGCAAGAAUUCAACUCAAAGGAAGUGGCGGGGACACGCGCAAGCGGUGGAUGAUGUGGAUUAAUUCGAUGCGACGCGAAAAACCUUAUCUUGCCUUGACAUGUCAGGAAGAUAUAGUAAUGAGAGCGUUCCGGCAAGGGAGCUUCGAGCACAGGUGUGUGCAUGGUCGUCGUCAGCUGGGGUAGUGAGAUGUUGGUUUAAGUCCCGCGAGCGAGCGCAAUCCUUGUCUCUAGUUGGUUAGAAAGGGCACUCUAGUGAGACUGCCGGUGACAAACCGGAGGAAGGUGGGGAUGACGUCAAAGUUCCUCAUGGCCCUUAUGGGUC